Molecule: ribosomal RNA, 216 nt
Filed under: Glomeromycotina sp.
Lineage: Eukaryota; Fungi; Glomeromycota
Description: partial small subunit ribosomal RNA
Rfam family: Eukaryotic small subunit ribosomal RNA (bases 40-216)
Source: RNAcentral
GGGUCAGUAGGUUGGUCGUGCCACCGGUACGUACUGGUCUCACUGAUUCCUCCUUCCUGAAGAACCGUAAUGCCAUUAAUUUGGUGUUGCGGGGAAACAGGACUGUUACUUUGAAAAAAUUAGAGUGUUUAAAGCAAGCUAACGCUUGAAUACAUUAGCAUAGAAUAGUGAAAUAGGACGAUCGAUCCUAUUUUGUUGGUUUCUAGGAUUGACGUA